This 1442-nucleotide ribosomal RNA is filed under the name bacterium. RNAcentral's name for it is "bacterial SSU rRNA". It matches the Rfam family "Bacterial small subunit ribosomal RNA". The record is from RNAcentral.
CAUUGCGGCAGCUACACAUGCAAGUCGAGCGGUAGCACAGAGAGCUUGCUCUCGGGUGACGAGCGGCGGACGGGUGAGUAAUGUCUGGGAAACUGCCUGAUGGAGGGGGAUAACUACUGGAAACGGUAGCUAAUACCGCAUAACGUCGCAAGACCAAAGUGGGGGACCUUCGGGCCUCAUGCCAUCAGAUGUGCCCAGAUGGGAUUAGCUAGUAGGUGGGGUAACGGCUCACCUAGGCGACGAUCCCUAGCUGGUCUGAGAGGAUGACCAGCCACACUGGAACUGAGACACGGUCCAGACUCCUACGGGAGGCAGCAGUGGGGAAUAUUGCACAAUGGGCGCAAGCCUGAUGCAGCCAUGCCGCGUGUGUGAAGAAGGCCUUCGGGUUGUAAAGCACUUUCAGCGGGGAGGAAGGCGGUGAGGUUAAUAACCUUGGCGAUUGACGUUACCCGCAGAAGAAGCACCGGCUAACUCCGUGCCAGCAGCCGCGGUAAUACGGAGGGUGCAAGCGUUAAUCGGAAUUACUGGGCGUAAAGCGCACGCAGGCGGUCUGUCAAGUCGGAUGUGAAAUCCCCGGGCUCAACCUGGGAACUGCAUUCGAAACUGGCAGGCUAGAGUCUUGUAGAGGGGGGUAGAAUUCCAGGUGUAGCGGUGAAAUGCGUAGAGAUCUGGAGGAAUACCGGUGGCGAAGGCGGCCCCCUGGACAAAGACUGACGCUCAGGUGCGAAAGCGUGGGGAGCAAACAGGAUUAGAUACCCUGGUAGUCCACGCCGUAAACGAUGUCGAUUUGGAGGUUGUGCCCUUGAGGCGUGGCUUCCGGAGCUAACGCGUUAAAUCGACCGCCUGGGGAGUACGGCCGCAAGGUUAAAACUCAAAUGAAUUGACGGGGGCCCGCACAAGCGGUGGAGCAUGUGGUUUAAUUCGAUGCAACGCGAAGAACCUUACCUGGUCUUGACAUCCACAGAACUUUCCAGAGAUGGAUUGGUGCCUUCGGGAACUGUGAGACAGGUGCUGCAUGGCUGUCGUCAGCUCGUGUUGUGAAAUGUUGGGUUAAGUCCCGCAACGAGCGCAACCCUUAUCCUUUGUUGCCAGCGGUUCGGCCGGGAACUCAAAGGAGACUGCCAGUGAUAAACUGGAGGAAGGUGGGGAUGACGUCAAGUCAUCAUGGCCCUUACGACCAGGGCUACACACGUGCUACAAUGGCAUAUACAAAGAGAAGCGACCUCGCGAGAGCAAGCGGACCUCAUAAAGUAUGUCGUAGUCCGGAUUGGAGUCUGCAACUCGACUCCAUGAAGUCGGAAUCGCUAGUAAUCGUAGAUCAGAAUGCUACGGUGAAUACGUUCCCGGGCCUUGUACACACCGCCCGUCACACCAUGGGAGUGGGUUGCAAAAGAAGUAGGUAGCUUAACCUUCGGGAGGGCGCUUACCACUUGGAUCCGUGG